GCUUAACACAUGCAAGUCGAACGGAAAGGCCCUGCUUUUGUGGGGUGCUCGAGUGGCGAACGGGUGAGUAACACGUGAGUAACCUGCCCUUGACUUUGGGAUAACUUCAGGAAACUGGGGCUAAUACCGGAUAGGAGCUCCUGCUGCAUGGUGGGGGUUGGAAAGUUUCGGCGGUUGGGGAUGGACUCGCGGCUUAUCAGCUUGUUGGUGGGGUAGUGGCUUACCAAGGCUUUGACGGGUAGCCGGCCUGAGAGGGUGACCGGCCACAUUGGGACUGAGAUACGGCCCAGACUCCUACGGGAGGCAGCAGUGGGGAAUAUUGCACAAUGGGCGGAAGCCUGAUGCAGCAACGCCGCGUGCGGGAUGACGGCCUUCGGGUUGUAAACCGCUUUCGCCUGUGACGAAGCGUGAGUGACGGUAAUGGGUAAAGAAGCACCGGCUAACUACGUGCCGGCAGCCGCGGUGAUACGUAGGGUGCGAGCGUUGUCCGGAUUUAUUGGGCGUAAAGGGCUCGUAGGUGGUUGAUCGCGUCGGAAGUGUAAUCUUGGGGCUUAACCCUGAGCGUGCUUUCGAUACGGGUUGACUUGAGGAAGGUAGGGGAGAAUGGAAUUCCUGGUGGAGCGGUGGAAUGCGCAGAUAUCAGGAGGAACACCAGUGGCGAAGGCGGUUCUCUGGGCCUUUCCUGACGCUGAGGAGCGAAAGCGUGGGGAGCGAACAGGCUUAGAUACCCUGGUAGUCCACGCUGUAAACGGUGGGUACUAGGUGUGGGGUCCAUUCCACGGGUUCCGUGCCGUAGCUAACGCUUUAAGUACCCCGCCUGGGGAGUACGGCCGCAAGGCUAAAACUCAAAGGAAUUGACGGGGCCCCGCACAAGCGGCGGAGCAUGCGGAUUAAUUCGAUGCAACGCGUAGAACCUUACCUGGGUUUGACAUGGAUCGGGAGUGCUCAGAGAUGGGUGUGCCUCUUUUGGGGUCGGUUCACAGGUGGUGCAUGGCUGUCGUCAGCUCGUGUCGUGAGAUGUUGGGUUAAGUCCCGCAACGAGCGCAACCCUUGUUCACUGUUGCCAGCACGUUAUGGUGGGGACUCAGUGGAGACCGCCGGGGUCAACUCGGAGGAAGGUGGGGAUGACGUCAAGUCAUCAUGCCCCUUAUGUCCAGGGCUUCACGCAUGCUACAAUGGCUGGUACAGAGAGUGGCGAGCCUGUGAGGGUGAGCGAAUCUCGGAAAGCCGGUCUCAGUUCGGAUUGGGGUCUGCAACUCGACCUCAUGAAGUCGGAGUCGCUAGUAAUCGCAGAUCAGCAACGCUGCGGUGAAUACGUUCCCGGGGCUUGUACACACCGCCCGUCAAGUCAUGAAAGUUGGUAACACCCGAAGCCGGUGGCCUAACCGUUGUGGGGGAGCCGUCGAAGGUGGGACUGGUGAUUAGGACUAAGUC
Molecule: ribosomal RNA, 1434 nt
Filed under: uncultured organism
Description: 16S ribosomal RNA
Rfam family: Bacterial small subunit ribosomal RNA
Source: RNAcentral